CUUUAUGGCGGCUGUACGUGGGGCACACUCGUGUGCGCCGAGUUCUAGAGUCCUCGGUCUGUCAACCCGCGUACCGCUGCCACCUUC
This 87-nucleotide non-coding RNA is filed under the name Pseudomonas putida. RNAcentral also lists the same sequence under 1 other name. Lineage: Bacteria; Pseudomonadati; Pseudomonadota; Gammaproteobacteria; Pseudomonadales; Pseudomonadaceae. The record is from RNAcentral.